GUGAACGUAGUUCAGUUGGUAGAGCGCCAGAUUGUGGUUCUGGUUGUCGUGGGUU
This 55-nucleotide transfer RNA is filed under the name Clostridium sulfidigenes. It matches the Rfam family "tRNA", at positions 1 to 53 of the family's 71-position model. Rfam says of the family: Transfer RNA (tRNA) molecules are approximately 80 nucleotides in length. Their secondary structure includes four short double-helical elements and three loops (D, anti-codon, and T loops). The record is from Rfam by way of RNAcentral. Lineage: Bacteria; Bacillati; Bacillota; Clostridia; Eubacteriales; Clostridiaceae.